This 71-nucleotide transfer RNA is filed under the name Lactobacillus delbrueckii subsp. bulgaricus. Its description in RNAcentral is "tRNA-Glu". It matches the Rfam family "tRNA". From Rfam's summary of the family: Transfer RNA (tRNA) molecules are approximately 80 nucleotides in length. The record is from RNAcentral. Lineage: Bacteria; Bacillati; Bacillota; Bacilli; Lactobacillales; Lactobacillaceae.
GGCCCGUUGGUCAAGUGGUUAAGACACCGCCCUUUCACGGCGGUAACAUGGGUUCAAAUCCCGUACGGGUC